CACUCCUGCGGGAGGCAGCAGUGGGGAAUUUUGGACAAUGGGCGAAAGCCUGAUCCAGCAAUGCCGCGUGAGUGAAGAAGGCCUUCGGGUUGUAAAGCUCUUUUGUCAGGGAAGAAACGGUGAAAGCUAAUAUCUUUUGCUAAUGACGGUACCUGAAGAAUAAGCACCGGCUAACUACGUGCCAGCAGCCGCGGUAAUACGUAGGGUGCAAGCGUUAAUCGGAAUUACUGGGCGUAAAGCGUGCGCAGGCGGUUUUGUAAGUCUGAUGUGAAAUCCCCGGGCUCAACCUGGGAAUUGCAUUGGAGACUGCAAGGCUAGAAUCUGGCAGAGGGGGGUAGAAUUCCACGUGUAGCAGUGAAAUGCGUAGAUAUGUGGAGGAACACCGAUGGCGAAGGCAGCCCCCUGGGUCAAGAUUGACGCUCAUGCACGAAAGCGUGGGGAGCAAACAGGAUUAGAAACCCCUGUAGUCCCAUGA
This 475-nucleotide ribosomal RNA is filed under the name uncultured organism. Its description in RNAcentral is "partial 16S ribosomal RNA". It matches the Rfam family "Bacterial small subunit ribosomal RNA", at positions 334 to 800 of the family's 1533-position model. The record is from RNAcentral.